AGGUGCCUACGGGGGGCCGCCGUGGGGUCUCUUUCCCCCUUUCGGCCCCUCUGAUGCAGCGACGCCGCGUGAGGGAAGACGGUCUUCGGAUUGUAAACCUCUGUCUUUGGGGAAGAAAAUGACGGUACCCAAAGAGGAAGCUCCGGCUAACUACGUGCCAGCAGCCGCGGUAAUACGUAGGGAGCGAGCGUUGUCCGGAAUUACUGGGUGUAAAGGGAGCGUAAGCGGGCGAGAAAGUUGAAUGUUAAAUCUACCGGCUUAACUGGUAGCUGCGUUCAAAACUUCUUGUCUUGAGUGAAGUAGAG
Molecule: ribosomal RNA, 305 nt
Filed under: uncultured bacterium
Lineage: Bacteria
Description: bacterial SSU rRNA
Rfam family: Bacterial small subunit ribosomal RNA
Source: RNAcentral